AGAUACCUACGGGGCGCAGCAGUGGGGAAUAUUGGACAAUGGGGGGAACCCUGAUCCAGCGACGCCGCGUGAGUGAAGAAGUAUUUCGGUAUGUAAAGCUCUAUCAGCAGGGAAGAAAGAAAUGACGGUACCUGACUAAGAAGCCCCGGCUAACUACGUGCCAGCAGCCGCGGUAAUACGUAGGGGGCAAGCGUUAUCCGGAUUUACUGGGUGUAAAGGGAGCGUAGACGGCAGUGCAAGUCUGGAGUGAAAGGCGGGGGCUCAACCCCCGGACUGCUCUGGAAACUGUACGGCUGGAGUGCAGG
RNAcentral lists this ribosomal RNA (305 nucleotides) under uncultured bacterium. Its description in RNAcentral is "bacterial SSU rRNA". It matches the Rfam family "Bacterial small subunit ribosomal RNA", at positions 333 to 652 of the family's 1533-position model. The record is from RNAcentral.